RNAcentral lists this ribosomal RNA (2048 nucleotides) under Chloroflexota bacterium. RNAcentral's name for it is "partial 23S ribosomal RNA". It matches the Rfam family "Bacterial large subunit ribosomal RNA", at positions 1 to 1976 of the family's 2925-position model. Lineage: Bacteria; Bacillati; Chloroflexota. The record is from RNAcentral.
GGUCAAGUGACUACGGCGCACGGUGGAUGCCUUGGCACUUCGAGCCGAUGAAGGGCGCGGUAUGACUGCGAUAAGCCAGGAGGAGCCGUCAAGCAGGCUGAUCCCUGGAUUCCCGAAUGGGGCAACCCGGUGGCGGUAAUGCGCCAUCACCCCAGGUUGAACACAUAGACCUGGUGGGGGUAAGCGGGGGAAAUGAAACAUCUAAGUACCCCGAGGAACAGAAACAAUUCCGGUAGUAGCGGCGAGCGAACCCGGAGCAGCCCAAACCGAUUGAGCCUAAUGGAGCCCUCUCCUCUGCUCAGCCGGUGUUGUAGGGCGUUGCAUUCGCACCGAGGGUGGUGCGACAGCAGUUACAAACUGCGCGGGUAGGCGAAGGCCCCUGGAACGGGCCGCCACAGACGGUGAGAGCCCGGUAGCCGACACCCGACGCAGCUGCUGGCAGCGUCCCUGAGUACCACGCGACACGGUGAAAGCGCGUGGGAAGCUGGGGAGCCCACUUCCCAAGGCUAAAUACUCGAAGUGACCGAUAGCGGACCAGUACCGUGAGGGAAAGGUGAAAAGAACCCCGGGAGGGGAGUGAAACAGUUCCUGAAACCGUGUGCUUUCAAGCAGUGAGAGGCCCGUCACUGGGCUGAUCGCGUGCCUAUUGAAGAAUGAACCGGUGAGUUACGUUUUGUGGCGAGGUUAAGGCAUUCUGUGCCGCAGCCGCAGCGAAAGCGAGUCUGAACAGGGCGAAGCGAGUCGCAAGACGUAGACCCGAAACCAGGUGAGCUACCCAUGGGCAGGGUGAAGCGGGAGUAAAGCCCCGUGGAGGCCCGAACCUUCUUCAGUUGCAAAUGGAUUGGAUGACCUGUGGGUAGAGGUGAAAUGCCAAGCGAACCUGGCGAUAGCUGGUUCUCCCCGAAAUGCCUUUAGGGGCAGCGUUGCGGGAAACGACCGUGGAGGUAGGGCUCUGACUGGGUACGGGGGCGGACAGCCUACCAACCCCUAUCAAACCGCGAAUGCCACGGCCGAACCUGCGGCAGUGAGACUGUGGGGGAUAAGCUUCAUGGUCAAAAGGGAAACAGCCCAGACCGCCGGCUAAGGUCCCGAAAUUUCCGCUCAGUGGGAAAGGAAGUCCAGUCGCGCAGACAACCAGGAGGUUGGCUUAGAAGCAGCCAUCCUUGAAAGAGUGCGUAAUAGCUCACUGGUCGAGUGAUUGGGCGCCGACAAUUCAACGGGGCUCAAGCGGAAUACCGAAGCCGCGGAUCUGGCUCUCAGUUCGCUGGGGGUCAGGUGGUAGGGGAGCGUUCCGUUCAGCAGUGAAGGCGGACCCGCGAGGGCCGCUGGAGCGGACGGAAGUGAGAAUGCCGGUAUGAGUAGCGAAAGGCGUGUGAGAACCACGCCCACCGAAUACCUCAGGGUUCCUACGGCAGGGCAAUCCGCGUAGGGUUAGGCGGGCCUAAGCCGAGGCCGAAAGGCGUAGGCGAUGGACAGACGGUUCAUAUUCCGUCCCCGCUGAGUGUGUGCCUGAGCGACAGGGGCGACCCGGGAAGAUAGCGUGAGCGGGCCUAUUGGACAUGGUCCGUCGCGCCGCGUACGCGUCGAGCGGGGCUCAAAGACCGCUCGGUUAAGCAGAGGCGGCGCGGAAGCGGCGACGUCAGUCAAAGCGACUCGUGUGACACCCUCGGCCAGAAAACCCUCGGUCGCGAAUACAUUCAGCGCCCGUACCGCACACCGACACAGGUAGGUGAGGGUAAGUACCUCCAGGUGGACGAGUGAUUCCUCGCUAAGGAACUCGGCAAAAUAGUUCCGUAACUUCGGGAGAAGGAACGCCUCGCGGCUGGUCCCCGACUCGCUCGGGCGAACGGCCGGAGGUCGCAGUGAGCAGGCCCAGGCGACUGUUUAACAAAAACACAGGUCUCUGCGAACGCGAAAGCGGACGUAUAGGGGCUGACGCCUGCCCAGUGCUGGAAGGUUAAGGGGAGGGCUUCACGGCUCGAACCGAAGCCCCAGUGAACGGCGGCCGUAACUAUAACGGUCCUAAGGUAGCGAAAUUCCUUGUCGGG